RNA transcript from Gambusia affinis (western mosquitofish), 2880 nucleotides. It is a transcript of the gene named iroquois homeobox 6a, with no coding region annotated. The transcript is spliced from 7 exons. NCBI's taxonomy places the organism in Eukaryota, Metazoa, Chordata, Actinopteri, Cyprinodontiformes, Poeciliidae. The record is from RefSeq and is a predicted model, not a curated record.
AAAAAAUAAUAACAAAGCUUAACGUUAUAUAUUAGCUUAAUUUACAAGUAAUUGACUACAAAUAAAACAACGGUUCUAAACAUCUGGAGUGUGAAAAUAUGUUUUGAUGCCGAACAAAUUUUAUUAAAUGUUUCUUUAUUUAACUUUGGAUAAGGUUUGGCGUUCAGUUAUUCAAUAAAGGUGGUGGAUUUAUUCCAAAAAGUAUGUAACGGCGGGGGAAAAAACGGGCAAAAGAAAUCAGGACAAGAAAGUGUACAGUGCACCUUAAGAAAGCCCUGGGCUGGAUGUGAUUGGCAUAGACAUUAUUCUAUCCUCGAUACCCCUGCCGUUCCGGGAUUACUGUGACGUCACGCUGAUACCCGUGCAUGGGUGAAAGCUAAAGAACUAUAGAGCCACAAAUAAUAGCACAAGCAGAGUCCAUAACUUGGAAGACUUACUUAUCCUUUAAGCCUCCUUCAGCCAACACAACAACAUUUUUUUCCCACUUAAUGACGCUUAAUUUCAUUUCUUAUCGGAUCCUGUAGGGGAUUAUUCAUUCAUAUAAAACAAUCUGCAGCUGCUGCCACUCCAAACUCUCCCUCCUUUUGACUGAAGUCAUCUAUUAUUGAGCGAAAGGCCGUGCGUGGAAAGUGUGUGCAAGACGAUGGAUUUGAAGUAGAAUUGGUUGCAAUCGAUCAAGGGUGAAGAAUAUUCCUGAUGGUAACAAAGGAAGCAGCGAUGUCUUUCUCGCAGUUUGGAUAUCCUUACAAUGCAACUUCACAAUUUUUCGUGUCGGCAAACCCCAGUACGACUUGCUGCGAUUCGAUUUCCAGGUCGGUAUCUGACGGGACAGGCAGCUCUCAGACCGCCGCAGCCGCAGCCGCCGCCUCCUUCUGCUGCCCCUCCUACGAGAACCGGCUCCUGGCGAGCAGCCGGACGGAGCUGAACGCAGCGCUGGGGAUGUACGGCUCUCCUUACGCCGCUGCGGCCGCAGCCAGCCAGAACUACGCCAACUACUUCCCCUACAGCACCGACCCAUCCGCUAUCUACUCCACUCUGAAUCCACAGUAUGACAUUAAGGACAGCACAGGCACUUUACACUCUGGCAUUACUCAAACCGCUGCCUACUAUCCUUAUGAUCACUCACUGGGACAGUAUCAGUAUGACAGAUAUGGGACGGUGGACUUUAAUGGCACAGCUCGCAGAAAGAAUGCCACACGUGAAACCACCAGCACACUAAAAACAUGGCUGUAUGAACACCGCAAGAACCCCUACCCGACUAAGGGAGAGAAGAUCAUGCUGGCCAUCAUCACCAAGAUGACCCUCACCCAGGUGUCCACGUGGUUCGCCAAUGCCAGGAGACGGCUAAAGAAGGAGAACAAGAUGACCUGGUCACCAAAGAAUAAGGUUAACGAUGACAGAAAGGAGGACUUUAAUAAGAGUGACCAGGACUGUGUCACCAAAGAUUCCAGUGAUUGCAAGGAAGAGAAAGAGUUGCACCUGAGUGACCUGGAGGACAUGGAUGAGGACGACUGUGACAAGCUGGACAGCGACUGUGAAAAGGUGGCAGCAGAUGAGCAGGACCUCCAGAGAUCCAUGGUUGCAUCUGGAGCUCCCCUGAAAAGAGACUGCAGCUCCGACCUUCACUUGAGCUUAACAAACAGCUUCCACACUUUCCCCUGCAGUAUCAAAGGUGUCACCGCCCUCCCGCAUCUCCCGUCGGAUUUCAUAGAUCCAAUUGUGUCCAAGGCGGCCCCUGCAAGCGUCCCGUCAGCAGGAACAGUGUCCCUGUCUCAUUUUGAAUCGUCAGAAAAGCCACGCAUUUGGUCGUUGGCCCGUACUGCAGCUUCAGGGGUUAUAUUAAAUCCCCAGCAGCAUGGUUCGGAGCUAAGGACAGGAAGCCUAACUGGGGACUGUCAACUAGAGAGCAGCAGACUUCCCAGGGCUCCUACUGGGCAAUGUGGAGCCACAAGAGGCCUGCUUGAGUCUAACGGUGUCACAAAUUCAGGAAGCUCUUUCCCUGAGGGCUCAUCCUUGCACUCAAAAGUUUACGGCACAGGCAGCUACAGCCACAAAGGCCUCCAACUUCACAGCUCGUCUUACGCUGCCCUUCCAGAUACCUGUCAGUACACAGCAAUCGAAGAAAACAACACUUUCCCAACCUGAAGCAACUUUCUUGAGGUGUGCUUUUACUUGGACACGCAGGAUUCUCCAGUGGCAAGGUAGAGAAUCAGUCGUCUGACCUCAGCGAAGCCUGUGGGACUGUGCAGAACGACAAGGUCACUGCAUUCAGACCAGUCAUGAAGAGGUGAAGCAGAUUUCUGGGGCUUGUCUAACAACAGCUAAAUGGGACAUUUAUUAUGCACUAACAGACACACUGACCAUGUGGCGGCCUGAGUGUGAGCUGCCUGGUUCUGUUGCAGUGAGAACUAUCAAACUGUGGACUCGACUAUCAUUUUGCACAACAUUGUUUUUUUAUGGUGAUAAAAAGAUUUUAUGCAAAAAAUAUUUCUAGAUGCAAAGUGUAAGAGCAAUGGCCCAAAAUGAAAUGGGCUGAAUUUGUGUAUGGCAAUCGUGUAGUGUAGCAUAACUUAUUUAUUUCUCUGUGUAUUUAACAUUUUUGUUAUGUCAACAUUUUUGGAUUAUUAUUUAUGUUUAUGAGUCAGGUGUGUCUUCUUUUUUUCUUCCUUUUUGAAAUGAUGUUUUUUUGUGUGUAUUGUGUGAUUUUUGCCUGAUGUAACAGAGGGAAUCUUCCUGGAAUUAGUGAUUACGAUUGGAUCUACUGUUUUGCGCUUAAUUUGGAUGUAUUUUUAUUUAAGUUUUUUGUCACUGUGUUGAACUGUGCGCCCUCCCUCUGUUCGCCUUUCGGGACAUUUUCAAUAAAUUUUUUCUUUUCCAAAC